CUCCAUGACCAUGACGCUGCCCGUCACCACCAAUUUCUGCUAGGUGAGGCGCUUUCCCACGACGUCACUCACAAGCCCGGCUGUCGUGCAGUCCUCUCCUCUGAUGCUUCACUGCCGUGACUUCCUCCUCGCUGCCACACAUGCCCCUGCAGCAACCCUAGCCGCCACGGGCCUCCGGUGCGACUCCCGCGUAGGCCCUCUACCCCGCAUCUCCGUAUGCGCCGGUGCCAGCUCGGGCUCAACGGUGUUGCCCGCCUCUGGAGACCUCGCCUUCGAUAUUGACGAUUUAGUAAGGAAUUUCUCUGCUCUGCUCGUACCCUCUCUAGAUCUGGUUCCUUGUGGUGACAUAGCAUCGUUCCAUGGUCGAUUCUUUUCCGGAAAUCAGAAGCAUUGUCUACGCUACCUAGUUUCAGUCGUUGUGGUAUCAUGCAUCACGGAUGGAUAACAGCUCAUCCCAUCACGGCCAGUGACCUUGCCGGAGGCUCAAAAUUUCACUUCACAAUUCUAGGUAUUUUAAUUCGUGCUUGCAUCUUUCAGUGUGCAAUGCUAUUAGUUCUGCACAUGCAAGCCAGUUGUUUCUACUUUGGUUGCUCUAAUUGGAUGUAUGGCUGAGCCCGUAUGUGUUAAUUCUGAAAGAGUGCUUGUGUGUCCUUUUUUUAUCUCAAUAGUUCGUUCUUGCUGCUAUUUGUGUGGAUGAAUCCUUGCCAAUUUUAUUGUCACAUGUCGUGUAAUACUGUAGGAAUAAGUCUCACAUGUGUACAUCUUUCCCAAUAUUCCUCUUUAUUGUAUAUAUAAUCCUUAUUUUCAUCUUGCCUUACAGGUUCUGAAAUUGACAUUGCUUCAGCCAACAUGUGUGUGCUUGUUUGAUUGCAUUCUCAUCCUAGUAGCAGUUCAAUCUGUUCUGUUGAUGAACAUGCAGGUGAGGCUGCAACAUGGUUUUGAGUUACCAAAAUAUUGUCUGCCUUAGUUAACAAAUAGCUGACUCAUUUCAAUGGUUGAUCCGCCUGCUGAGUUGAGCAUGAAGUUUUGGUCUGACCUUUUCAUUGCGGUGCUUGCAGAAUGGUGUCGUGGCAGCACUGCACAAUUAAUUAACUACGCUGAGAAACAUUGUAGCUCUUCUUUUCGUGCCCACACACUAUGGAGCCACCAGCCUGCUCGAUUUGCCCUCACACAGUGCCAACCCUGUGAGAGAAAAUUAUGGUACUGAUUUCUUAGGUUAUAAGGUUAUGUGUUCCCCUAGGAUUUAAGAUGGUGAAGUUACUUGAUGUAGGACCUAGGGUAUACUAUAACUGUAUCACCUUUUGUUGUUUAUCGGCUUGCUUCAAUAAGAACUUCAGUGCUUGAGUCCAACCCUUUAAGGUUUCACUUUGCUCCAAUUACUCAAUCAGAACUCGUGGUUCUAUAUGUUGUAGGCUCUGAACUUCCUUCAAUCAGAAUCUAUUUUUUCACAAGAUUAUGAAAUAUUUAUGUCCCCCAGGUUCUUAUUGGCCAAUUUCUCAGAUUAGGAGUUGAUAUAAACAUCAAUAUGCUCAAGGUAAUAGACCCUACUUUGCAUAGUAAACCAUAUUGAGCUAUUGUGAAUGCAAAACAUCUUUAAUAACUGAAGAUGAUGUCACAACCCUACUUUGGUUUAUAGAUUACAAAGAGAUUGCCCAAUCUAGAAAAGAAAAGGUGUAUGCCAAACUGAAGAGUCGUGUGACGUAAGCAGCUGAGAUGCUAAAAAGUUUGUGUAAGUUCUACUGGCUUGCUCCCGAAUAUUAGCUUGCUCGAAUAGAAAAUGUCUCAGAAUCUUCUGAAAGAUCAUUUGUUGAUGUUAUUUGAGCAAAGAAGUGUGUAAUUUCCCAAUCUACAUUACUACUAAUGCUAUUUUGAUGUAAUGCUACAUUUGAUAUCUUCUAGCAUUCCUUUUAGAUUUUAUGCUACGUUUGAAUAGAGGGUUGCCAAGGGUCCUGUAGCUUACAGACGCUAAUAUCUCAUUUUGUCAAGAUAGUUAAGACUUCUUGUACUAAAGUUUACUAUAUCAAUUUUGUACUAAAAAUUUACCCUGUUUUACUAAAUUAUCUUGCUACUAAUUUUUGCAUUGCUGUACUAAAAUUUGCCUUUCUAUUGUUGUACUAAAAUUUAACCAUUGAGUAGGUAGGAAGAAUUCUACGGAGCAAUAAUAAUGAUUAAGGAGCGCCCAGGAGAAACCAAAUCACAAUCCACUCCCAAAACAUAACCAGUACAUGAUUCAUGAUAGAAUUGCACUAGACACAUGACAAUUGUAUAACUCCAUGUAGUAGAGUGUACCUGAUGCCUAUAUUGUUCCUUUUUAACUUGUUCGCAGAAACCAGUAUAUAAAUAUAUGUCUUGGUAAAUCACAUUGUGAGCAUGUAUCUCGGUACGUAAUUCAGGCACAUUCAAAUUUGGCCAUGUGUGAAUCAUUUUCUUUGAACAUAAAGUAUUUUUGAGUUGUUGAAACCUUGCAUCUAUUUGUAUUUUCUAGAGAACUAUAGAUCUUUCUUUGAAACCAAACAAUGUGUUGUGUGUUAGCACAUGUUUAUUUAAGGGAAAUACCUCAUUUCUUACAGAGUAUGUUUGCCUUAAGGUCUACAUGGACUCAAUUGAUGACAUAUAGUAGAUUUUUUCAUAAGAAAACAAGGAUCAAAAGUGUUUGUCAGAUGUAGGCUAUUACUCUCCUUUUGUGCAUACAAAGCUACUAAUGUCAUGACCUUCAACCUCCUUUACAUUUUGCUCCUCCUUUACAUUUUGCUGAUCUAUUAACUUGAUUUUAUCUACAGUAAGUUACUCAUCUCGUUUCUUUGGUUUUGUAGAUUGUCAAGAUAAAAUGGAUAAUGCAUGGCUUGGAUGCUGAUUGCAAGGAUGCGAAUGGUGCUACAACUGGAUAAUUAGAAUGUCAUUUUCAGGAUGAUGUUUGAAACAUUAUAGUUGAUUGCAAGGUCUAGAAAUUGGCUACUACUUGAUAGUUUCACAUCUUGUAAUCUUUGGAUCCUGUUCUUUGUAAUGCAACAUAGUUGAUUUAAUAUAUGAGACCUUCCAGUUUAUUAUAUUGUGUCUCCUAUACACUAGAUAUAUUGACCUUGUAAUUCUGGAUGUCAAUAUAUAAAAUAUCAUAAAUUAUUCAUGCCAU
Molecule: long non-coding RNA, 3130 nt
Filed under: Triticum aestivum (bread wheat)
Lineage: Eukaryota; Viridiplantae; Streptophyta; Magnoliopsida; Poales; Poaceae
Description: long non-coding RNA (TAES_LNC005222)
Source: RNAcentral